AAGCUCGUAGUUGAAUUUCGGGGUUAGUAGGUUGGUCAUGCCUCUGGUAUGUACUGGUCUCACUGAUUCCUCCUUCCUUAUGAACCGUAAUGCCAUUAAUUUGGUGUUGCGGGGAAUUUGGACUGUUACUUUGAAAAAAUUAGAGUGUUUAAAGCAAGCUAACGCUUGAAUACAUUAGCAUGGAAUAAUGAAAUAGGACGUUCGAUCUUAUUUUGUUGGUUUCCUAGGAUUGACGUAAUGAUUAAUAGGGAUAGUUGGG
RNAcentral lists this ribosomal RNA (259 nucleotides) under uncultured Glomus. RNAcentral's name for it is "partial 18S ribosomal RNA". It matches the Rfam family "Eukaryotic small subunit ribosomal RNA", at positions 624 to 886 of the family's 1831-position model. The record is from RNAcentral. Lineage: Eukaryota; Fungi; Glomeromycota; Glomeromycetes; Glomerales; Glomeraceae.